AACGAACGCUGGCGGCAGGCCUAACACAUGCAAGUCGAACGAAGUCUUCGGACUUAGUGGCGCACGGGUGAGUAACACGUGGGAAUAUACCUUACGCUGGGGGAUAACAUCGGGAAACUGAUGCUAAUACCGCAUACGCACUUCGGGGGAAAGAUUUAUCGGCGAAAGAUUAGCCCGCGUCCGAUUAGCUAGUUGGUGAGGUAACGGCCCACCAAGCCUUCGAUCAGUAGCUGAUGUGAGAGCAUGAUCAGCCACACGGGCACUGAGACACGGGCCCGACUCCUACGGGAGGCAGCAGUAAGGAAUAUUGGUCAAUGGACGCAAGUCUGAACCAGCCAUGCCGCGUGGAGGAUGAAGGCCCUCUGGGUUGUAAACUUCUUUUCUUUGGGACGAAACCCCUGUUUCUACGGGGACUGACGGUACCAGAGGAAUAAGCACCGGCUAACUCCGUGC
This 453-nucleotide ribosomal RNA is filed under the name uncultured bacterium. Its description in RNAcentral is "partial 16S ribosomal RNA". It matches the Rfam family "Bacterial small subunit ribosomal RNA", at positions 29 to 508 of the family's 1533-position model. The record is from RNAcentral.